UGGCUGCUGGCCGCACCGCUCCAGCCGCCGCCUCCUCGCUCACCUCGUCCGCGCCCCUCACUCUAGAGAGACGGUGGAGGCGGAGGCGGCGGUGGCGGCGGCAGCUCCGGAGAGGCCCGAGUUUACCAUGGCUCUCAAGCUGGCUCGCACGGGCUGUACUCGCAGGGGCUACGGCGGCCGACGAGUCCAGCGCACGCCGACUCCGCUUUGUGUACACGCCUCCCGGGCAGGCAGCGCUCGGCGUUCUCGCGAGGCGGUGAGAGGACCUAAGUGCUACUUCUUCCUCUCUCUGCCCCGCCUCUUGGCACGGGAUCUCGGCCUAGUGUGCGGUCCCCGGUGGUGCCGCGAGAUUCUUCUCUGGGCAGGUGGCGAGAGUUCAGUAGUGCAUCCGGUUUCGUGCAGUUGGUGGGGGCUUUCGAGAGUGACGAGCCGCCGGGCCUUACUCUGAGGAAAAAGUAAAGCAAGCCUGGGAGUCAUGACCCUUGCUCUAUCCUUCAGAUGUUGCCACAAUGAUCACUUCCUCAGAGAAGCCUUCCCUGACUAGUUCAAAUAUGCUUGGACUAUUACAGAGUGGUGAACAGAUGGGAUAAGGGACAAAAUCAUGUCAGUUUCUCAAUCUUAAGAACUGGCUAAGUCAACUCUGCUUCUCCCUUUAUUUGAAUAACCUCAAAGCUGUGGGUGAUUUAGUGUUACUGAAAUAGCUCAAAGCAGGAAUCAGAGGCAUGAAGAGAAGAGAAGAAUAAGAUGGGAAGAAAACAAUUCUGAGGAGUUCAAUGAUGUGCCCUGAAAUCCCAUGGUUACUUUUGGAAUGUCCUGCUUGAUUUAGAGCUAGUGUUGGAGAAUAUGCAAUUGAUGAGGUGAAAACAGUUGCUUCUGUCAAGCCUUUUCUCCAGAAAAAGUGGGUUGAAACUCCCAAAUUUCUAUCAUCAGCCUGGAACUAUUCCUAUAUAUUUAACUGAUGGCUUGUUAUCUUCAUCCAUACACCUAAUGGAUAUUUCAAACUAAACAGGUAAAUACUUAGAGGUGGAACUGCUGGGUCUAUGGUAAGGC
Non-coding RNA from Manis javanica (Malayan pangolin), 1050 nucleotides. The record is from RefSeq and is a predicted model, not a curated record. NCBI's taxonomy places the organism in Eukaryota, Metazoa, Chordata, Mammalia, Pholidota, Manidae.